GCAGAAGGAUCAUUAGUGAAAAUUUGGGGACGCCAUAACGAACCCAAAAACUGUCCUUGGCCCCCUACACCUAUUAUUCCUCCCCCCUGUGCUGUGCACUGUCUUGGAUAAUCGCUUCAAAGAAAUUUUUUGUGGCCUAUCGUGCGGUCUUUCUUCGCUACAACCUCCAAAGGAUACUAUGAAUUUGAAACUUGAUUGGACCGUUCCUGGCCAACAAACUAUACACAACUUUCGACAAAUGAUCUCUUGGUUCUCCCA
RNAcentral lists this unclassified non-coding RNA (258 nucleotides) under uncultured fungus. RNAcentral describes it as "partial contains 18S rRNA, ITS1, 5.8S rRNA". The record is from RNAcentral. Lineage: Eukaryota; Fungi.